AAUCUGCUCAAUGAUUAAAAUUAAAUAGCUGCGGUAUUUUGACCGUACAAAGGUAGCAUAAUCAAUAGUUUUUUAAUUGAAAGCUAGAAUGAAUGAUUUAAUGAAAUAUAAACUGUUUCAAAUUUAUUAGUUGAAUUUUUUUUAUUAAUUAAAAAAUUAAUAUGAAUUUAAAAGACGAGAAGACCCUAUAGAGUUUAAUUAAUUAAUUUUAUAUUUUAUAAUUUAUUUUGAAGUUAAAUAUAAUUUAAUUAAUUUGAUUGGGGUGAUUAAAAAAUUUAUAUAACUUUUUUAAAAAAUAAACAUAAAUUAAUGAUUUUUUGAUCUUAUUAUUUAGAUUAAAAGAAUAAAUUACCUUAGGGAUAACAGCGUAAUUUUAUUGGAGAGAUCAUAUUGAUAAUAAAGGUUGCGACCUCGAUGUUGAAUUAAGAUUAAAUUUAAAUGGAGAAGUUUUAAAUUUUUGGUCUGUUCGCCAUUAAAAUCUUCAUGAUUUGAGUCAAACC
RNAcentral lists this ribosomal RNA (500 nucleotides) under Rhyssa persuasoria. RNAcentral describes it as "partial 16S ribosomal RNA". The stretch from base 359 to 500 matches the Rfam family "Archaeal large subunit ribosomal RNA", at positions 2542 to 2685 of the family's 2987-position model. The record is from RNAcentral. Lineage: Eukaryota; Metazoa; Arthropoda; Insecta; Hymenoptera; Ichneumonidae.